AAAAAAAACAAACACGAAAGCAAGUCGUAAGUUUUUUGACCUGUCGGAUGUUUGCGCUGCCGUGUUGUUUGAUUGUGCGUUCAUUGUGGAAUGAUUCGCAAAGUCCGUUCCGGGAAAGACUCCGCCAGAUGGAAAUGGUGACGAUCGUAGCCAUGGUUGGCAAAAGUGGCAGAUAAAAAAAAGUGGCAAAAGUGGCAGGCAAUUUCAAAUGUCGGGCCAGGUAUUGUGGAGGUUAAACAAAUUUCUAAGGGUUAAAAACGUUGGGACCAGCAAUAAACUUUUACCAAAGAGAAGUUUGUUGAAAGAAACACUAUUUGUACUGAGUUGUGAUGUGAAAAAAUAGUAAAAAAAUAGGUUUAAAAUAAAUGUAAUCUGGUGUGUACAAAAA
Long non-coding RNA from Uranotaenia lowii, 388 nucleotides. RefSeq lists it as uncharacterized. NCBI's taxonomy places the organism in Eukaryota, Metazoa, Arthropoda, Insecta, Diptera, Culicidae. The record is from RefSeq and is a predicted model, not a curated record. The transcript is spliced from 2 exons.